RNAcentral lists this ribosomal RNA (448 nucleotides) under uncultured bacterium. RNAcentral's name for it is "SSU rRNA". It matches the Rfam family "Bacterial small subunit ribosomal RNA", at positions 26 to 518 of the family's 1533-position model. The record is from RNAcentral.
AGGAUGAACGCUGGCGGUCUGCUUAACACAUGCAAGUCGAACGGGCGUAGCAAUACGUUAGUGGCGGACGGGUGAGUAACGCGUGAGAAUCUACCUUCAGGACGGAGACAACAGUUGGAAACGACUGCUAACCCCCGAUGUACUGAAAAGGCAAAUAUUUAUAGCCUGAAGAAGAGCUCGCGUCCGAUUAGCUAGUUGGAGAGGUAAAAGCUCACCAAGGCGACGAUCGGUAGCUGGUCUGAGAGGACGAUCAGCCACACUGGGACUGAGACACGGCCCAGACUCCUACGGGAGGCAGCAGUGGGAAUUUUCCGCAAUGGGCGAAAGCCUGACGGAGCAAGACCGCGUGGGGAAGAAGGCUCUUGGGUUGUAAACCCCUUUUCUCUGGGAAGAACACAAUGACGGUACCAGAGGAAUCAGCAUCGGCUAACUCCGUGCCAGCAGCCGC